This 253-nucleotide ribosomal RNA is filed under the name uncultured bacterium. RNAcentral describes it as "partial 16S ribosomal RNA". It matches the Rfam family "Bacterial small subunit ribosomal RNA", at positions 524 to 776 of the family's 1533-position model. The record is from RNAcentral.
UACAGAGGUCUCAAGCGUUGUUCGGAUUCAUUGGGCGUAAAGGGUGCGUAGGCGGCGCGGUAAGCCGGGUGUGAAAUCUCGGAGCUUAACUCCGAAACUGCAUUCGAUACUGCCGUGCUUGAGGACUGGAGAGGAGACUGGAAUUUACGGUGUAGCGGUGAAAUGCGUAGAUAUCGUAAGGAAGACCAGUGGCGAAGGCGGGUCUCUGGACAGUUACUGACGCUGAGGCACGAAGGUCAGGGGAGCAAACGGG